UACGUAGGUGGCAAGCGUUGUCCGGAUUUACUGGGCGUAAAGGGCGUGCAGGCGGCUUGUUAAGUGCAGGGUGAAAGCUCCCGGCUCAACUGGGCGGGGUUAUGCCAGACUGGCAGGCUAGAGGGUGGGAGAGGGAUGUGGAAUUCCGGGUGUAGUGGUGAAAUGCGUAGAGAUCCGGAGGAACCCCAGAGGCGAAGGCGGCAUCCUGGCCCACGACUGACACUCAGACACGACAGCAUGGGGAGCGAGCGGG
RNAcentral lists this ribosomal RNA (253 nucleotides) under uncultured bacterium. RNAcentral describes it as "partial 16S ribosomal RNA". It matches the Rfam family "Bacterial small subunit ribosomal RNA", at positions 524 to 776 of the family's 1533-position model. The record is from RNAcentral.